Molecule: ribosomal RNA, 287 nt
Filed under: uncultured organism
Description: partial small subunit ribosomal RNA
Rfam family: Eukaryotic small subunit ribosomal RNA
Source: RNAcentral
GGAAUUCGCCCUUCGGAGAGGAGACCUGAGAAACGGCUACCACAUCCAAGGAANNCAGCNNNCGCGUAAAUUACCCAAUCCUGACACACGGAGGUAGNGACAAUAAAUAACAAUGCCGGGCCUUUAUAGGUCUGCCAAUUGGAAUGAGAACAAUUUAAAUCCCUUAUCCNAGNAUCAAUUCCAGGGCAAGUCUGGNGCCAGCACCCGCGGCAAUUCCAGCUCCAAUANCGUAUAUUAAAGUUGNUGCACUCAAAAAGCUCNUANCAUGGAUUUGUGGCGUGCGGCGC